RNAcentral lists this small RNA (474 nucleotides) under Arabidopsis thaliana (thale cress). RNAcentral describes it as "ATSL207590". Lineage: Eukaryota; Viridiplantae; Streptophyta; Magnoliopsida; Brassicales; Brassicaceae. The record is from RNAcentral.
UUUUUUAGAGAUCCCCUGUUAUUGAAGCCUAUUUUGUAAGGGACCAUCUUUAUCUCUUGACCUUUUACCUUAGCCAAAUGAGUUCAUUGAUGAUGCAUUACUUGAUUCACGUUCCAGAACUAAUGAAUGUUAAAGGGAUUGGUAGAUUUGAAAACAUGUGUAGGUCGAGCAUAUGAGUAGAAUUCGAUCAUAUCGCAGCUUAGAACUAUCAACUUGGACAUUGAUUUCAUCUGGUUUAUUUGGUGCUUUGGCUCUGAGUCCCAGCUUUCAAACCUCACCUCCAGCUUGUUCUUAAUUGUUUGCUUGAGGGCAAGCAAAGACAAAUUUUGGGGGAGUUGAUAAGUGUGUAUUUUGCAUGUUUUGAGCAUCCAUUUGUCAUCAUUUUAGCACCAUAUCAUCACCGUUUUAUACCAUUUCUCAUCAUUUGUCAUCACUUUGCAUGUUUAGUAUAGGUUUGCAUGCAUGUUGCAUAUA